UGCAAGUCGAACGGAUCAGGGGAGCUUGCUUUUCUGGUUAGUGGCGAACGGGUGAGUAACACGUGAGUAACCUGCCCUCCACUCUGGGAUAACUCCAGGAAACCGGGGCUAAUACUGGAUACGACUCGAACAGGCAUCUGUAUCGGGUGGAAAGAUUUAUUGGUGGAGGAUGGACUCGCGGCCUAUCAGCUUGUUGGUGAGGUAAUGGCUCACCAAGGCGACGACGGGUAGCCGGCCUGAGAGGGCGAUCGGCCACACUGGGACUGAGACACGGCCCAGACUCCUACGGGAGGCAGCAGUGGGGAAUAUUGCACAAUGGGCGAAAGCCUGAUGCAGCGACGCCGCGUGAGGGAUGAAGGCCUUCGGGUUGUAAACCUCUUUCAGCGGGGAAGAAGCAGCCAGGUUUUCUUGGGUGUGACGGUACCUGCAGAAGAAGCACCGGCUAACUGCGUGCCAGCAGCCGCGGUAAUACGUAGGGUGCAAGCGUUGUCCGGAAUUAUUGGGCGUAAAGAGCUUGUAGGCGGUUUGUCGCGUCUGCUGUGAAAUUUCGGGGCUCAACCCCGAACUUGCAGUGGGUACGGGCAGACUGGAGUGUGGUAGGGGAGACUGGAAUUCCUGGUGUAGCGGUGAAAUGCGCAGAUAUCAGGAGGAACACCGAUGGCGAAGGCAGGUCUCUGGGCCACUACUGACGCUGAGAAGCGAAAGCAUGGGGAGCGAACAGGAUUAGAUACCCUGGUAGUCCAUGCCGUAAACGUUGGGAACUAGGUGUGGGUCUCAUUCCACGAGAUCCGUGCCGCAGCUAACGCAUUAAGUUCCCCGCCUGGGGAGUACGGCCGCAAGGCUAAAACUCAAAGGAAUUGACGGGGG
RNAcentral lists this ribosomal RNA (867 nucleotides) under uncultured Intrasporangiaceae bacterium. Its description in RNAcentral is "bacterial SSU rRNA". It matches the Rfam family "Bacterial small subunit ribosomal RNA", at positions 56 to 919 of the family's 1533-position model. Lineage: Bacteria; Bacillati; Actinomycetota; Actinomycetes; Micrococcales; Intrasporangiaceae. The record is from RNAcentral.